CAAGUCCAGUCCUCUCCCUCCCCUCAACCUAGUGCCGCCACUCGUGCCCACCAUGCCGUCGCACCGCCGCCGCCGCUGGUGAACGGAUCCGUGCACCCCGUACACCUGCCUUGGCCUCCUCCCCCCUCCCCUCAACCUAGCUCCACCACUCGCGCCCACCUCCGUCCGCCGGUGGCGCAGGGGAGGAGCCGGCCAUCCUCAGGGUGGCGCUGGGCUCCGGCAAGCUGCGCAUCGAGGGGUCGCUGGGCUUUGGCAAGCUUCCGCACGCGGCGCCAGCUCACCGACCGCGCCGUGCUCGUGGAGCAGAGCUGGUGGAAGCUGCUGGACUGUGCCGUGCUCGAAUUUGGACGCCUCUCUCUCUCUCUCAUGUUGCCAUGCUGGACGCAAGAACCGAGCAGCGGGCAGAUGAAGGAGCAGUUCGUCGUGGAGAUGCUCGCUAGGCCCUCGAGUGCGGCGGGGUCAGGCCCCGGGAGAUCGCAGCAGCGUCAGGAGGACGCCUCCUCAGCUCAAGGCAGCAGGCCGCAGUCGUCGGCUGCUUCUGAUACACCGGUGGCGCAGCAACCUGACGCGAACUCUGUGCGAGCGAAGCUCGAGCUCGCCAAGAACACCAAGCUCGAGGCGGCCAAGAGGAAGCUCCAGGAAGGCUACCAAGAGUUUGAUAAUGCAAAGAAGCAGAGAAGCAUACAGAUGGUUCAUCCCCAGAACCUGCCCAAGCAAGCGAACAACACCCAGAAUUUCCAACCUAGCGGGCCAGCGGCAAGCCAAGGAAUGGCAGCAACAGGAAUUGAGGACUAAGUACAACAACAUGGAGCCGGAUGCUGUUGAUUUCUUUGGGGAAUGUAUGAAUAGUCCCCGAAAUGGUCAUACUCUGCUUGCAAAUGAGAUAUAUGAGAAAAUGGUUGCCGAGAAGGAAAGAGAGCUAGAAGAAGGAGAAGCACAAAAGUCACCCUCCAAGAUUGUUGCUGAUAGUCUCAGCCAGAUCAGUCGCUCAUCCACCUUCCUUCCAAACAUUGGUGUCUGUUUGAAUGCUUCAAACCUUUGUGGUGGAACCUUUGUAUGUUUGAACCUCUGUUGUGGAAGAACUAGUGUGCUGGAAUUAUGUAUGACUUGUGAUG
This is an RNA transcript of Zea mays, 1115 nucleotides long. It is a transcript of the gene named protein-like pseudogene, with no coding region annotated. The transcript is spliced from 5 exons. NCBI's taxonomy places the organism in Eukaryota, Viridiplantae, Streptophyta, Magnoliopsida, Poales, Poaceae. The record is from RefSeq and is marked validated.